Molecule: long non-coding RNA, 2570 nt
Filed under: Homo sapiens (human)
Lineage: Eukaryota; Metazoa; Chordata; Mammalia; Primates; Hominidae
Description: HSALNT0292224
Source: RNAcentral
CAAGGCCAUCAUUGGACACCUCCUCCAGGAAGCCCUGCUGGAAUGACCCAGAUUCAGCCACUUGACUCCCAGGUCUUCUUAAGUGAGGAGACGUCUCCAGCCUUGCUUCAAUACAUGCUUUCCAACUUCUGCACCUGUUCCACGGUUCCGUCCGCCUGAAGGCUCUCUCACUCUCCUCCAGAAAGACUUCCAUCUCCCUGCAGGGAAACUGGACACAUGGAGACAUUGAGCCACUGCCCAAAGUUACACAGGAAAGCCAGCUAUGUCAAUGUGGACACUCGAGCAGUCCUCUGGAGUGAGCCACAUGGUGAAAAAUGGAGUCCUCCUGCCACCAGCCAAAAGGGACUUGCCAACCUUGUGACUGAGCCGGCCCAGACACUCCAGCCCCAGUUAAACCUUUGGAAGACUGUGGCCUCACCAACAUCUUGACUGCAACUUCGUGAGAGACCCAGAGCUAGACCCAUGCAACUAAGCUGCUCCCCAAUUCCUGGCCCACAGACACUGGGAGAGAUAAUACAUGUUUAUUUCUGUUUGAAGCUGCUAAGUUUUGGGUAAUUUGUUUUGCAGCAAUAGGUAAUUGAUAGCAUUAGGAAACAUUAGCUAAUGCUAACAAUGUUUUGCAGAUGAGGGAAUUGAGGCAUAAAAGUAACUUGCCCCAGGUCACACAGGUAACAAGUCGUUUAAACCAUGGCAGUUUGGAUCUAUGUAAAGUUCAGUAAUAAAUUAGAAUCUCUCUUUUACAGGAAUCAGGACACUUUGCCUGCUCAGAGGGAGAGAGGGAAAGAGACAGAGACACAAACACAGAGAGACAGUGACAUGGAGAAGUGCGCCGUGGGCUCACAGUACCAUGUGAAGGACUGGGGCUGCCCUUCUGUAAAGUGAAGGCAGUGGAGAAGUGAAGUGAAGUGUAAGUGAAGAGGAAAGUGAAGGAUGGUAGAGAGCACCCUUGCCCUUGCAGCCUGGCUGUGUUUGGCUUGGGGCUGCUGGUCUCCGACCCUGGCUGGGCUGGUGACACAGCCUAAGGUACCUGGGGGUGGAAUCUGGCACCCCUGAGCAGACCCCUCCCUGGCUCUUGUCCCCCUGUGCUGACACUCUCUGUCCCAGGCUCUCUCUGCCUCCAGACCAGAGCUCCUCCAGGGAAAAGGUGGAGUCUUGUUCGUCUGUGUCCCUCACCUAGCAUAAGGCCUGCCAGAGCAGGCUGGGCGAGGUGAACACAGAAGGUCCUCUGGCCCUGGUACUGGAGAGGCAUCAUCACUGGGGACAGAGUGAGAACCAGGAUGAUGCUGUUUGUUACUGGAGGAGCUCCCAUUGGAUGGAGGAGCCAACAACGACAGGCCAGUGUGAUCAGGGAGAUUGGGACACACAGUGCCGUGGGGGCCCAGAGGAGCAGGGAGGAUCUCUGUGGAGGAGGCGAGAAGUCUUCCCAGAGGAGGAGGCAUUUGAGAAAUUAACCAGUUUAUGUGCCCUGAAAAAUUCCCACUUCCACCCUCUGGGUUCGCAUGCUGGCUCAGUCACUUACUAGCUGUGUGACCUCUCUGCUGCUUAGCUUACUCAUCUGUAAAAUGGGAUAAACACAAAACCUGCCUGAUGGAGAUGUCGUAAGGAUCAAAGAGGAAAAAGAAUUUAAAACAUUUAGAAUGGUGCCUGACCCCCAGCAAGUAUACAAUAAAUAUUGGCUAUUGUUGUUAUUUUAUGUGGUUUUCUUUUAACUUUUUCAAGUAAAUAUAACUUACCUCAUGCUUGUUAUGUGUCAGGCCUUGUAUUUAUCCUCUGAAGACAAAGAUGAGGAAGACAUAGUCCUCCUAGGGGUACAAAUCCUUCAAUAAAGGCAGAAACAAGCAUUGGUCAAAUGUGCCCUGUGCCAAGAAUCCAGGAAUGCAGGAGAGCGGGCUCCUGUCCUCCAGCAGCUCACAGAGUGACGAGGGAGACAGUUGCAUAAGCAGACUGUGGCAACACAGGGUGGUCAGGGCUGCGGCAAAGGGAAGCCCAGGGACUGCAGGAGCCCGGGGAAGUGGCCCAAAGUGGGUGGAGGCUGAGAGGAGCCAGAAGGACCUCUGCUGAGGGGACUGUUGAGAGACAAGGAUUUGCCCACUUUGGCAACUGGCAUCCUUCUCCCUUGGGGAGGUCGGGGGAUGCCUGGGCUCAGUCUUGAUUCUGGGUAUUGGAAAGCCAUCAGGGUUUUGUGAACAGGGAAUUAUGUUUGAAUAAUAGUAACAAUAACUAACAUUUCUCAUGCAGCUACUAUAUACUGUAUGCUGUGCGUACACAAUCUCAUCUCAUAUCCUCACCACAAUGCUGUGAGAUAAGAAAGUGAGACUGGGAGAUAGGAUUGACUUUCCUAAGACCACAGAGUGGAGGAGGAGGAGGGACUGAGUUGGAUAGGUCAGUUUGGGCAGCAAGACGGGCUUCUAUCUUUAUCCCACAGUCCCAGGCACCAUUGUGCUUGACACAGAAUCCAAACUCCCAGCUGUGGCCUACAAAGCCCUGGUGAUCAGGGCCUUGCCAACUCCCUCCAGCCUCACCUGAGGCACCCACUCCUUCCCUGUCAUCAGGCCCCGGCCCACCUUGAU